GAUGAACGCUGGCGGCGUGCCUAAUACAUGCAAGUCGAGCGAACGGACGAGAAGCUUGCUUCUCUGAUGUUAGCGGCGGACGGGUGAGUAACACGUGGAUAACCUACCUAUAAGACUGGGAUAACUUCGGGAAACCGUAGCUAAUACCGGAUAAUAUUUUGAACCGCAUGGUUCAAAAGUGAAAGAAGGUCUUGCUGUCACUUAUAGAUGGAUCCGCGCCGCAUUAGCUAGUUGGUAAGGUAACGGCUUACCAAGGCAACGAUGCAUAGCCGACCUGAGAGGGUGAUCGGCCACACUGGAACUGAGACACGGUCCAGACUCCUACGGGAGGCAGCAGUAGGGAAUCUUCCGCAAUGGGCGAAAGCCUGACGGAGCAACGCCGCGUGAGUGAUGAAGGUCUUCGGAUCGUAAAACUCUGUUAUUAGGGAAGAACAUAUGUGUAAGUAACUGUGCACAUCUUGACGGUACCUAAUCAGAAAGCCACGGCUAACUACGUG
Molecule: ribosomal RNA, 497 nt
Filed under: uncultured bacterium
Lineage: Bacteria
Description: partial 16S ribosomal RNA
Rfam family: Bacterial small subunit ribosomal RNA
Source: RNAcentral